Molecule: ribosomal RNA, 437 nt
Filed under: uncultured Blautia sp.
Lineage: Bacteria; Bacillati; Bacillota; Clostridia; Lachnospirales; Lachnospiraceae
Description: partial 16S ribosomal RNA
Rfam family: Bacterial small subunit ribosomal RNA
Source: RNAcentral
ACGGGAGGCAGCAGUGGGGAAUAUUGGGCAAUGGGCGAAAGCCUGACCCAGCAACGCCGCGUGAAGGAAGAAGGUCUUCGGAUUGUAAACUUCUUUUAUGAGGGACGAAGGAAGUGACGGUACCUCAUGAAUAAGCCACGGCUAACUACGUGCCAGCAGCCGCGGUAAUACGUAGGUGGCAAGCGUUAUCCGGAUUUACUGGGUGUAAAGGGAGCGUAGACGGUCUGGCAAGUCUGAUGUGAAAGGCAGGGGCUCAACUCCUGGACUGCAUUGGAAACUGUCGGACUGGAGUGCCGGAGAGGUAAGCGGAAUUCCUAGUGCAGCGGUGAAAUGCGUAGAUAUUAGGAGGAACACCAGUGGCGAAGGCGGCUUACUGGACGGUAACUGACGUUGAGGCUCGAAAGCGUGGGGAGCAAACAGGAUUAGAUACCCUGGUA